This 236-nucleotide ribosomal RNA is filed under the name uncultured bacterium. RNAcentral's name for it is "partial 16S ribosomal RNA". It matches the Rfam family "Bacterial small subunit ribosomal RNA", at positions 114 to 334 of the family's 1533-position model. The record is from RNAcentral.
CGCGUGGGUAAUCUGCCCUUGAAUUUGGGAUAACACUUCGAAAGGAGUGCUAAUACCGGAUAACAUUUAAUUGACUGCGGUUAAUUAGAUCAAAGAUAGCCUCUUCAUGAAAGCUAUUGUUUAGGGGUGAGCCCGCGUACCAUUAGCUUGUUGGUGGGGUAACGGCCUACCAAGGCGACGAUGGUUAGCUGGUCUGAGAGGAUGAUCAGCCACACUGGAACUGGAACACGGUCCAG